RNAcentral lists this ribosomal RNA (627 nucleotides) under uncultured bacterium. Its description in RNAcentral is "bacterial SSU rRNA". It matches the Rfam family "Bacterial small subunit ribosomal RNA", at positions 56 to 675 of the family's 1533-position model. The record is from RNAcentral.
UGCAGUCGAGCGGUAACAGAUCUAGCUUGCUAGAUGCUGACGAGCGGCGGACGGGUGAGUAACGCGUAGGAAACUGCCGAGUAGUGGGGGAUAGCCCAGAGAAAUUUGGAUUAAUACCGCAUACGCCCUACGGGGGAAAGGAGGGGAUCUUCGGACCUUUCGCUAUUCGAUGUGCCUGCGUGAGAUUAGCUUGUUGGUGAGGUAAAGGCUCACCAAGGCGACGAUCUCUAGCUGGUUUGAGAGGAUGAUCAGCCACACUGGGACUGAGACACGGCCCAGACUCCUACGGGAGGCAGCAGUGGGGAAUAUUGCACAAUGGGGGAAGCCCUGAUGCAGCCAUGCCGCGUGUGUGAAGAAGGCCUUCGGGUUGUAAAGCACUUUCAGCAGUGAGGAAAGGUUGUAAGUUAAUACCUUGCAGCUAUGACGUUAACUGCAGAAGAAGGACCGGCUAACUCCGUGCCAGCAGCCGCGGUAAUACGGAGGGUCCGAGCGUUAAUCGGAAUUACUGGGCGUAAAGCGCGCGUAGGCGGCUAGGUCAGUCAGAUGUGAAAGCCCCGGGCUUAACCUGGGAAUUGCAUCUGAUACUGCUUGGCUAGAGUACAGAAGAGGGUGGUGGAAUUUCCUGUG